AUGUUGGCAGUGCUCUCUGCUUGCUCAAACAGGGAGCCGGUAGAUGCUGGGAUGGGCUUGCUGAAGCAAAUGGAAUAUGGGAAGAUUAAGGUAGUACCAACUGUUGAACACUACAGGUGUGUGGUUGAUAUGCUUGGUAGAGUUGGUUUGGUGGAUGAGGAGCGUGCCUUGGUGGAGCACAGAAUGCUGACGGAGGCAAAUGUGGUGAUAUGGGGAACAUUGCUUGGUGCAUGUGAGAAGCGCUGCAAUGUGAAUGUUGGCAAGUGGGCGGCGGAGCAACUACUAGCGGCUGUGCCAUGGAAUGACGGGGUUUAG
This 315-nucleotide ribosomal RNA is filed under the name Triticum aestivum (bread wheat). RNAcentral's name for it is "partial small subunit ribosomal RNA". Lineage: Eukaryota; Viridiplantae; Streptophyta; Magnoliopsida; Poales; Poaceae. The record is from RNAcentral.